Molecule: ribosomal RNA, 508 nt
Filed under: uncultured bacterium
Lineage: Bacteria
Description: bacterial SSU rRNA
Rfam family: Bacterial small subunit ribosomal RNA
Source: RNAcentral
AUUGAACGCUGGCGGCAGGCCUAACACAUGCAAGUCGAGCGGCAGCGGGGGGAAGCUUGCUUCCUCGCCGGCGAGCGGCGGACGGGUGAGUAAUGUCUGGGAAACUGCCCGAUGGAGGGGGAUAACUACUGGAAACGGUAGCUAAUACCGCAUAACGUCUACGGACCAAAGUGGGGACCUUCGGGCCUCACACCAUCGGAUGUGCCCAGAUGGGAUUAGCUGGUAGGUGGGGUAAUGGCUCACCUAGGCGACGAUCCCUAGCUGGUCUGAGAGGAUGACCAGCCACACUGGAACUGAGACACGGUCCAGACUCCUACGGGAGGCAGCAGUGGGGAAUAUUGCACAAUGGGCGCAAGCCUGAUGCAGCCAUGCCGCGUGUGUGAAGAAGGCCUUCGGGUUGUAAAGCACUUUCAGCGAGGAGGAAGGCAGUCGUGUUAAUAGCACGAUUGAUUGACGUUACUCGCAGAAGAAGCACCGGCUAACUCCGUGCCAGCCGCCGCAGUAAAAC